This 306-nucleotide long non-coding RNA is filed under the name Numida meleagris (helmeted guineafowl). Its description in RNAcentral is "lncRNA (ENSNMEG00000004717.1)". Lineage: Eukaryota; Metazoa; Chordata; Aves; Galliformes; Numididae. The record is from RNAcentral.
AUGCGGGAGGAAGCAAAGGAGCCAAGUCUUUGUCCUUUCCUUCAUUCAUAUCCACUUCAAAAAGAAGGUAUCCUAAAAGCGAGGUCGCUUAUGGUUUCCAUACAUUACUGUCUCAUCUCUUUUCCCAACUGGGAGACACAUGAAUAGUUGAAAGAGAUAAAACGAGGGAAAAAGCCAAAAGAGCAGCUGCAGCAGAACUCAGAAGCUGGAACCAGGAGAGUCCAAGGCCCUCUACAUUCAUUCACAGCAAAAGGUAAACCUUUAUUUUUGCAACAAAGAGAAUAAAACUCUACCCAAAAGACUCCA